GCAGGCUGCAACCCGCCUGCAUGAAGUUGGAAUCGCUAGUAAUCGCGGAUCAGCAUGCCGCGGUGAAUACGUUCCCGGGCCUUGUACACACCGCCCGUCACACCAUGAGAGUCGGGAACACCCGAAGUCCGUAGUCUGACCGCAAGGGGGACGCGGCCGAAGGUGGGUUCGAUAAUUGGGGUGAAGUCGUAACAAGGUAGC
RNAcentral lists this ribosomal RNA (201 nucleotides) under uncultured bacterium. Its description in RNAcentral is "partial 16S ribosomal RNA". It matches the Rfam family "Bacterial small subunit ribosomal RNA", at positions 1300 to 1500 of the family's 1533-position model. The record is from RNAcentral.